Molecule: ribosomal RNA, 449 nt
Filed under: uncultured bacterium
Lineage: Bacteria
Description: partial 16S ribosomal RNA
Rfam family: Bacterial small subunit ribosomal RNA
Source: RNAcentral
AGCGAGCGCUGGCGGCAGGCCUAACACAUGCAAGUCGAGCGCCGUAGCAAUACGGAGCGGCAGACGGGAUAGUAACACGUGGGAACGUGCCCUUUGGUUCGGAAUAACUCAGGGAAACUUGAGCUAAUACCGGAUAAGCCCCUACGGGGAAAGAUUUAUUGCCAUUGGAGCGGCCCGCGUCGGAUGAGCUAGUUGGUGAGGUAAUGGCUCACCAAGGCGACGAUCCGUAGCUGGUCUGAGAGGAUGACCAGCAUCACUGGGACUGAGACACGGCCCAGACUCCGACGGGAGGCAGCAGUGGGAAAUAUUGGACAAUGGGCGCAAGCCUGAUCCAGCCAUGCCGCGUGGAUGAUGAAGGUCUUAGGAUUGUAAAAUUCUUUCACCGGGGACGAUAAUGACGGUACCCGGAGAAGAAGCCCCGGCUAACUUCGUGCCAGCAGCCGCCGUAA